Acanthosepion pharaonis is the source of this 110-nucleotide non-coding RNA. NCBI's taxonomy places the organism in Eukaryota, Metazoa, Mollusca, Cephalopoda, Sepiida, Sepiidae. The record is from the annotation of a GenBank genome assembly.
CAUCCAUAUCCCGUUGAAACACCAAUUUUCAUAUGAUCACCGAAGUUAAGCAACAUCAAACCUGGUCAGUAUCUAGAUGGGUGAUGACUUGGGAAUACCAGGUGCUGUAA